This 2411-nucleotide long non-coding RNA is filed under the name Homo sapiens (human). RNAcentral's name for it is "non-protein coding lnc-TPBG-4:1". Lineage: Eukaryota; Metazoa; Chordata; Mammalia; Primates; Hominidae. The record is from RNAcentral.
UUAUAAUAUUGAUAGAGCCUCUAUUGAGAAGAAUUGUUUCUUCAUCACAUGAUAAUCUAACAGUUUAAAGUGGAGCUUUAUCUAAGAACCAGGGAAGCAGUAGAUUCAUUAGUCUAGCUUUUCUCAUCAACUCUUUGAAGCAAUGAUGAAUCUGAUAAAGUGAAGCCAAGUUUUCCCUGUUAGGUAGAUGGCUUCUUUGAAGUUAUAAUUUAUUGCUUCUUUUUCAUCCCCCUACUUAUUCUCUUGUUUGGACUUUCCAAUUGCUACUGCUUUGUUUUCCAUCACAUCACUCCUUCCUGUUCUCCAAAAUAUGGAAAUAAAAAAGUCAAUUAAAAGAACACCUUAUUCUUAAGAUAAAAAAUUGUUAUUAUUUGACAACUAAUUAAUGUUUUGCAGCCCUAAUAUUCUUAAGUCUAUAAGCUUAUAAAACAUUCUAAGUUCCUUGGAAGAUAGAGGCUAUAUAAAUUCAAUAAGUAUAAGGGAAUAUGGGAAAAAUAAAAGUAUCACUUUAUUUAAAAAUAAGACAAGUCUGUUUGUUUUAAAUACUGUUCUUACUAUUAAUGCAUUGUUGACUCUAGAAACCUGCAAGUAUCCAUUUUUAAAAUUUUAUUUUAGUUGGUAAUACUCUUUAUUACUGAACGUAAAAUUUUCAACAUAAAACACCCUUCAUUUAUCCUUUACAAGUUUCAUUUGAAGAAAGUUAGAAAAAAUACUUAGAAAUUCAAGGACUUGAUAUAUCCCUUAAUUUAGAAAGCUAUUCAACUAUCCCAUAAAUUUCUAUUUAAAGUAGCAAAAAUUUUAGGAUAAUACAGCUAUUUGGCCCUGAAUUAUAACUGCCCCCUUUGAUUGUAACCAUUCAGUUUGCAGCAUUCGUUUUUGUAAUAGCAGUUUGGCUGCUAUGGGUGUGAUUCAAUGGUAACCUACAAGGCAAAUUUGUACAGGAGCUGACAGAUUUUUCUAACAAAAUAAGGAGACUUUGAAGCACAUUGAAUAGGAGUUUUUAAAUGAAUAGGAUUUUUUAAAGGAAAAAGAGUAGGAGCUUGGGGGGGAAGGCUGGUUGAAAUAAAUGAGCAAAUCACAAAUAAUAAAUCCUUUAGAAAUACCUUGAUUGGCAGUAAGUGUGGAUUAUGCUCAUCUCAGUAUUUAAUUAGAAAUAACUUACCUUUGUCUUUUGUCUUUUUAAUUAAAGUGGCUGUAAAAAAGAAGGUCCAGAUGAACUGAGAUUGUUUGCUUAGGAAUUCUGUUUUACUCUUUUCCUUUUACCUGAUGUUCUAAAACAGGGCUUACCUUGUUGAGGACCUUAGAGGCUUUGCAAUUCUAGAUUGUGAUUCUUUCAUAUCAUUUUAGUUUUUCUCCCAAGACUACACUAAAGGAGACAUCACGAGAUUUGCAAGGUUAAAAACAAUUCUGCACGUGCUUCCUCCUGCUCCCAAAUCCGGUCAUCCACCUUUCAGAGCAGCACCGUAAAGUGAAGACAGACAUUUAUUAGAUGAAAUUCUGGUUUCACUUUUACACUUGUGCAAGCAUUUUUAACAGUAAAGGAGAGGAAAGGGAGGAAUUUAUAUUUCUAGAUAAUAUAUGAAAAUUACCUUGAUAUUGUAUUUUUAAGAUCUUUCACCAAUACUGCAGUGCUGCACUAGAAAUAAUUAGUUUAAGAAAAUACAUUCAACAUUGUCCAGGUGAUCCUGUCACCUUUUAGAUGACGAAAAACAUCUUGAGGAUGUUUUGUACAGUUAUUUUCCCAUUGUUACUCUUAGAGACUUUUGUUUCAAAAAGGCAGGCUCAUUUUAUUUUGUUUUAUCUUAGAACAUUUUAGCAGCUCUUUGUCAUGGGUUAAAAAAAUCUAGAAUUAAAAAAAUGUUUAAUAUAUGAUUUAUAUAAUUUUGACAAGAAUACAAAUUCUUAGUCGUUCAAAAUUGGAAGCGCUCUUAGAAGUGUCAAGCUCAGCUUUCCAUUCCACAAAUGAAGUAACUGGUAACUGUGACUUAUUAUGUUAUACAGUGACAGUUAUUAUGUUAUACAGUGUCAGUUAUACAGUGACAACCAGGACAAAAUCCUAGGGUUCUAGAUUCCCCUUCUGGUGCUCUUUUUACCAGAUGAUGGCAUUACUAAUUGCCUACCUUGAGGCCUUUGAAAUCACCAUGUCUGAUAAAAACAUGCAAUUGCUUUGGUGAAUUUGUUUGUUUUAUUGUUGUUGCUUUGAGUGAAUGCUUCAGUUUGCUCUAGAUUUUACUUUGUUAAAAAUUACCAUGUUUUAACCCCCGAAAACAUUUAAUGUUUUUGAAAUGAUUUUUUCAUAACAAUCUUAUGAGUCUAUUAUAUAAUAGGAAGUAUUUUGGAAAUUUAAUGGUGAUAUUUCUUUGGAAAAGAAAAAUAAAAACUCUGGAAUGCAGUGCUGGUUUGUAUAAUUC